This is a long non-coding RNA of Brassica napus (rape), 2073 nucleotides long. RefSeq lists it as uncharacterized. The record is from RefSeq and is a predicted model, not a curated record. The transcript has 3 exons. Lineage: Eukaryota; Viridiplantae; Streptophyta; Magnoliopsida; Brassicales; Brassicaceae.
UUGCGUAGAAGGUUAAAGGUUUGUCGCCUAUUAAUUAGACUUGGUCAAGACAUUAUCGGCCUUCGAAGUCCACUACUAACGUGACAAAGAUCAUACGAAAAGAGAUGACGACGCUUUCUUCAAGAUAAUUCAUUUUGGGAGGUUUAAGCACUCUAGGCUAAACUUAAAAGUAUUCGCAUCGAUCAAAGCCUCUUGCAUUUUACCGAGUGAUGGAGUUGCGAACAAGCCUGUCAAUCUUUUUGAAGGUAAUCAAGACCGGGGUGGAGAUCGAGUUGUGCAGUCUGUUAUUCCGCUCCCACCAGAUAGAAUAAAUGGUCGCUUGAGCCGCAAGCCGGCGAAGCGUGAUCGGGCAAACAUUGUUUUUGUGUCCAAGCCACUCCGUAAAAGCCAUCCAAGUAUGAAACCAGAAGGGGUUAUAGCCCAGUCUUCGAAGCACUAGCAGCUAAAGGUUUUCAUUGAUCUCACACCGCAGGAAGAGAUGGUCUCUUGAUUCCAAGUACACAUUGCAAACACAACAUGCAUCAAGUGUGUUUACAGCCCAUAUGGAAGUGCGUUCCCUUGUGGGAAGACGGUUAAGAUGCGUCAUCCACAUCAUGAAAGCUUGACUAGGUAUAGCACCUUUAAACCAAAUGUUUUUAGUCCAUGACUGCGGUUCUCUUCUGUUGCGGAUAGCUUCCCAGGUUGACUUCGAUGAGAAAGCCUCUACAACCUCAUUAUCUACUUCCCACACAUAAGCAUCAGAGGUAGUAGAGGUAGAAGGGAGAGGUACCGUGCAUAGAUGAAGCUGGAGAGCUUCUGCUGCAGGUGAUCUGGCAUGUCUGAGCCUCCAUCCUAUAUCUGUACAGGCUUCAGCAACUGACGAGUGAAGUGGGAUUCCUAAUGCCCGAGGGCCCGAGUGGCCGAGGACGUUGAUGAGAGGUCCCAAUGGAGUCCAUUGGUCAUACCAGAAGCUAGCUGAGCGACCAUUCCCAACGUUGCAUCUAAGAAACCGAACAGCAAGGAAGCCCACAAGGACUCAUUCUCUUGGAACAGGAACCAGAUGAGCUUCAGGUUCAGAGUUUUGUUCCAUAAGAUGAGAUCCUUCAGUCCCAACCCUCCUUCGGCUUUUGGAAGGCAACAGUUUGCCCACGAUAUCCUUGCUGACGCUCUAGUUGUAAUGUUUCCAUCCCUCAGUCCCAACCCUCUUUCGGUUUUUGCCAAAACUUUGUUUUCCAAUAUCUAUUUUUAACUAAAAAUAGAUACUGCAGGGUUACGCUUGAUACCAUAUCAUUGUUAGAUCGUGUUGAUUCCAUAUCUAUGAUCUCGUGGAAAUGUGAAUUAGCUUUUCUUUCAUUCAAUUUCUAAUUUCUAAGUGUUUAUUUCCAGUCUGUCUUUGCUAGUUAUAAAGAACGUGCAGUUCGUUUUAUGGAACUUCCUGGUGAAAUACCAAACAGGCAAGUGCUAAUCACCUUAUAUGAAAGAAAUCACAAAGCGUAACCCUACAGUACCAGUCAUACAAAUCUCUUAGUUGGAAGUAUAUUAAUAAAAAUUACCUUAGAUGACAAGAUAAAAUAAAAAUUUGUAGAGAUCAUUUUGAACACAUAUUUUGGUAAAAUAAUUAUAUAUAUAUAUAUAUGUAAUAAAGCUUAAACCGUACAAUCAUGGAAAUAAUAAUCAGUCUUUAAUUAUAAUGUUUCAUGAGAUGAAUAACACCUCAAUGAAGAAGAACAAGCAUAUCAAUAUAUCAUCUUAUCACUUUUAAUAAAAAAGGUAACAGUUAUAUAUUUAUAUCUUUUGCGUUUGUCUCUGCCAAUUUUAAAAGCUCAUUAGAAUGACUCAUGCAAUAUAUCUUACUGGGCUGUGAGGCCAACAGGAAAUCCAACCCAACUCAAGAAGCAGACUACAUUGUUAAAGCUGGGUUCUAUUCACUAACCAGAAUACCAGAUGAUGGCAAUUGGCAAGCUUGCACUUUGAUGGGAAGAGUACAAAUAUAACUAUGAUGGGAAAAUAGAUUACACUCUUUGGAAAUGUUGAGAUUUAUAAGAUGAUGUCCAAAUAUAUUUCUACCGAUUAGUAUAAUAUUGUCCGCUUUAA